UACGGGGGGGGCAAGCGUUGUUCGGAAUUACUGGGCGUAAAGGGCUCGUAGGUGGCCAACUAAGUCACACGUGAAAUCCCUCGGCUUAACCGGGGAACUGCGUGUGAUACUGGAUGGCUUGAGAUUGGGAGAGGGAUGCGGAACUCCAGGUGUAGCGGUGUAAUGCGUAGAUAUCUGGAGGAACACCGGUGGCGAAGGCGGCAUCCUGGACCAACACUGACGCUGAGGAGCGAAAGCCAGGGGAGCAAACGGG
RNAcentral lists this ribosomal RNA (253 nucleotides) under uncultured bacterium. RNAcentral's name for it is "partial 16S ribosomal RNA". It matches the Rfam family "Bacterial small subunit ribosomal RNA", at positions 524 to 776 of the family's 1533-position model. The record is from RNAcentral.